This 460-nucleotide ribosomal RNA is filed under the name uncultured bacterium. Its description in RNAcentral is "partial 16S ribosomal RNA". It matches the Rfam family "Bacterial small subunit ribosomal RNA", at positions 338 to 795 of the family's 1533-position model. The record is from RNAcentral.
CCUACGGGAGGCAGCAGUGAGGAAUAUUGGUCAAUGGGCGCGAGCCUGAACCAGCCAAGUAGCGUGAAGGAUGACUGCCCUACGGGUUGUAAACUUCUUUUAUAAAGGAAUAAAGUGAGGCACGUGUGCCUUUUUGUAUGUACCUUAUGAAUAAGGAUCGGCUAACUCCGUGCCAGCAGCCGCGGUAAUACGGAGGAUCCGAGCGUUAUCCGGAUUUAUUGGGUUUAAAGGGAGCGUAGAUGGAUUGUUAAGUCAGUUGUGAAAGUUUGCGGCUCAACCGUAAAAUUGCAGUUGAUACUGGCAGCCUUGAGUACAGUAGAGGUAGGCGGAAUUCGUGGUGUAGCGGUGAAAUGCUUAGAUAUCACGAAGAACUCCGAUUGCGAAGGCAGCUUACUAGACUGCCACUGACAUUGAGGCUCGAAAGUGUGGGUAUCAAACAGGAUUAGAUACCCGAGUAGUC